Long non-coding RNA from Octopus bimaculoides (California two-spot octopus), 1621 nucleotides. Lineage: Eukaryota; Metazoa; Mollusca; Cephalopoda; Octopoda; Octopodidae. The record is from RefSeq and is a predicted model, not a curated record.
AGAAAACGCAGACACUAAACAACGAAAAACGAAAAAUGGAAGACGAAAAACAGAAACUAAAAUGUAAAAAAGUUAAAAGGAGAUAAGAAGAACAAAUAUUUGCUGUUUUCAACUAUGGGAAAACGACAUACAAAUAACCAUAAAAAAUGCGAUUCCAAAUUGAUUCCAGCGACUCUGAGACUGUCUUUGUACUUUGCUGAUGCUUAUUGCAAUUAAAAGAUACCGAAGUGAUCUAAAUUCGAAGGACACAGGAGUGAAAGAAAUUCUUGGAAUGAAAGCACUUUACUCUUGGCACAACUUGACAAAAUGUUUCCUUCGGUGGACAACUGCAAUGCUUGAAUUUCUGCUAUAUAUCAGACAGGUGUAUCUGUACAUAAAGUUUAAAGGAAGCUUUGCACUUGUCAACAGCGUUGCAGCUAUGCCAGAGAAAGCUGCAGCAUGAAUGGAGAAUUUAGGUUCCUCUAAAAAAAAAAAGAACUUCGGGUUUCUUUGCAGAAAGUAACUGGUCCACUUCAUUUUAAGUAUUUCUUUAAUCUAGCAUAAAUUUCGGUUUAAUUUCUUUAAUAUACUCAUCCAGUUGAAAAAGGUUAUAUGCUGUUUCUCACUGAAUUUUGAAAUUGUCUUUCACUUUAAGAAGAGCUUCUGUCGGACAGGCCUGAGUAAGACUUCUUGAGGAAGACUGGUUGUUGUCUAUGCAUAUAGACUUUCUCUCUCCAGGCUACUGACGUUAUCCAAGGAUGAGGCUGCUAACUUGGGCCGACACACUUUGGUAGCAGUGUCGUCGCAGAUGUCAGAACGUAAAAGUCCAGAACAGAUACCACAAAGUAUGGUACCUGUCCAUUUAACAGUUCCACCAUCCACUACCUUGGACUGAAAAUUUUUAUCCCCUCCCCUAUUCAAUACUCUGACAAUUCUGCCAGUUCGCCGCACUCUUUUAUGUCACUGAAUAUGAAGACCAUUUAAAAUUUUCUUCCAUACAAACUGUACCACAUCAUUACUAUACAAGAAGCAAACUUGAAUAUAUCCUCUAUGAAGACCCAGUGAAUGUUGACCGCACAGAUGAAUUAUGUCUUUUGACAGAUUCUUUCUACUGUUCUUACAUAUAUACUGAAAUGGGUGGAUUGCACGAAAAGAUGAGGUUUGUGAAGAAUUUGUGAAGUUUUGAUGGAAAUUAGGAAUAGCCAUUCAAAUAGUCAUCAACUUUCGGGAGCCAGAUGAGGUGGUAUAAAUUUCUGAAAGUACAGAACCGGGAUCCAUUUACAGUUUUUAGAGAUUCAAAUGAAAGAGAAAUACGCGGAUUGUCGAAUAUGAAGAAACACCUUGCUUGCCAUUUUGGAAAUAUUUUAUUUGCUCUUUCCAAAUGUAGUAUUUUGAGAGAUCACAGUUUAACAUAGUCGAAAGAAUGCUGUGAGACUGGAUCUAGACCAUCGUUGAAUGCGAUACCAAAUAUUUUUCUCAGUAAAUUAUAUUCUUUCUAGAUGAAUACCUAAGUGCAUUAUACUCAGGUGGAGUUUAUGGAUCGAUAAUUUCAGAAUUUGCCACACUCCGUCAUAGUGCUGAUGUAUCUGCCAGUUUAGUAAAAAAGCAACCCUCCAGCUCGAUCACUUCUUUUGAUCACAUA